CCGCGAUGGAAACUGCGGGCGAGUGCGUCUCUAAGUGUCGCUGCUACCAGAAAGAAACCCAAAUCGACAGCUGUGCCCACGCCGCCUGCCGCUGGAGUUUUAUACAAAUGAGUUAUUUCAAGACUUGUUUUUUAAAAGGUUAAAAAUAGCAGGUAAGGAUACGACCAGAAGACUAACACCUAGACCAGGAAGAGGGCCCUUGCCAGGAACCCAGGGAUGCUGCACCCUGAUCUCAGACUUCCAACCUCCAGAACUGCCUGGGUAUCCUGUUACAUAAACUCUAAGUCUGUAGAAAUUCACCAAGACAAAAAUACAAGAGCAGGAAAUGUGAACCAUACUCCUGCAGCCUUAACUAAGCGUCUUCUGUGACUAUGAAGGACAAAGGAUUGAUUCUUCCGUUCCUGGGGCACUGCAGAGAACAAGGACGCAUGCAGAGUGUACGCCGGCCCCUUCUCUCCUUUCCUGGCCUCCCUUGGUGGCUGCAUGCCUCCGUCACAGAACUACCCAGAAUGGAGGUGACUCUUGGACCUCCACUGUCCCUCACUGCAGUGCAGCCUGGCUUCUGCCCACCACCCCUCCAACGCUCUCCUAAAGGGCAC
Molecule: long non-coding RNA, 599 nt
Organism: Cynocephalus volans (Philippine flying lemur)
Lineage: Eukaryota; Metazoa; Chordata; Mammalia; Dermoptera; Cynocephalidae
Exons: 3
Source: RefSeq, a predicted model, not a curated record